CGGAAUUGCUAGUAAUGGCAGGUCAGCAUACUGCCGUGAAUACGUUCCCGGGCCUUGUACACACCGCCCGUCACACCAUGAGAGUUGGGGAUACCCGAAGCCUGUGAGCCAACUAUAUAGAGGCAGCAGUCGAAGGUAGAAUCAAUGAUUGGGGUGAAGUCGUAACAAGGUAAC
This 174-nucleotide ribosomal RNA is filed under the name uncultured bacterium. RNAcentral's name for it is "partial 16S ribosomal RNA". It matches the Rfam family "Bacterial small subunit ribosomal RNA", at positions 1327 to 1500 of the family's 1533-position model. The record is from RNAcentral.